UUCUUUAGGUAACCUGCGGAGGGAUCAUU
This 29-nucleotide ribosomal RNA is filed under the name Cladosporium cladosporioides. RNAcentral's name for it is "partial 18S ribosomal RNA". Lineage: Eukaryota; Fungi; Ascomycota; Dothideomycetes; Cladosporiales; Cladosporiaceae. The record is from RNAcentral.